Triplophysa dalaica is the source of this 496-nucleotide long non-coding RNA. RefSeq lists it as uncharacterized. The record is from RefSeq and is a predicted model, not a curated record. Lineage: Eukaryota; Metazoa; Chordata; Actinopteri; Cypriniformes; Nemacheilidae. The transcript is spliced from 2 exons.
CGCAAUCAGGUUUUGCAACAUAGUACAUACGUCUGUUUAGUCGUUAAAGAGUUGAUUAGGAAUGCAUUAAAGUAGCGGAAGGUUUUGUGAGUCAGCAAUCACAAUCGACACCUCUGGCCAUCAUGAAAGCGUGUGGCCUUAAAACUAAACGGUGCGCAAUCCCAUCAAGAAGCACAAUAUCAAGAAUCAGAGGCCACGCUGCGUUCCUGUAUACCGUCCGGCAACAGACAAAUUCGACGGAAACGAGACGCUUUCAUGAGUCCAGGGGCGUGAGUAGAUAUAUACUCCAGAGAGUGGGCUCGGAGGCAUCACGUCUUUCCUGUCUCAGCCGCCAUCGAGCCGUCACGCGGCGGGAGGUUCUGCAGGCCUGGGAUCAGCUGAGGCACCGGAGGAAUCCAUCCCCAAUGGCUGGCGCUUGAACUUCUUUUUCUUUUAAAUGUUUUUAUUGUUUUAAUGUAUAAAUAUUUAACCCUCAAAAUAAAACAUUUUGUUCUUA